ACGGGUGAGUAAUGCAUCGGAACGUGCCCAUGUCGUGGGGGAUAACCACGCGAAAGCGUAGCUAAUACCGCAUACGCCCUGAGGGGGAAAGCGGGGGAUUCUUCGGAACCUCGCGCGAUUGGAGCGGCCGAUGUCAGAUUAGCUAGUUGGUGAGGUAAAGGCUCACCAAGGCGACGAUCUGUAGCGGGUCUGAGAGGAUGAUCCGCCACACUGGGACUGAGACACGGCCCAGACUCCUACGGGAGGCAGCAGUGGGGAAUUUUGGACAAUGGGCGCAAGCCUGAUCCAGCCAUGCCGCGUGAGUGAAGAAGGCCUUCGGGUUGUAAAGCUCUUUCGGCCGGGAAGAAAUCGGCGACUCUAACAUAGUCGCUGGAUGACGGUACCGGACUAAGAAGCACCGGCUAACUACGUGCCAGCAGCCGCGGUAAUACGUAGGGUGCGAGCGUUAAUCGGAAUUACUGGGCGUAAAGCGUGCGCAGGCGGUUUUGUAAGACAGAUGUGAAAUCCCCGGGCUUAACCUGGGAACUGCGUUUGUGACUGCAAGGCUAGAGUACGGCAGAGGGGGGUGGAAUUCCUGGUGUAGCAGUGAAAUGCGUAGAUAUCAGGAGGA
Molecule: ribosomal RNA, 610 nt
Filed under: uncultured Thauera sp.
Lineage: Bacteria; Pseudomonadati; Pseudomonadota; Betaproteobacteria; Rhodocyclales; Zoogloeaceae
Description: bacterial SSU rRNA
Rfam family: Bacterial small subunit ribosomal RNA
Source: RNAcentral